RNAcentral lists this ribosomal RNA (433 nucleotides) under uncultured bacterium. Its description in RNAcentral is "partial 16S ribosomal RNA". It matches the Rfam family "Bacterial small subunit ribosomal RNA", at positions 29 to 507 of the family's 1533-position model. The record is from RNAcentral.
AGCGAACGCUGGCGGCAGGCCUAACACAUGCAAGUCGAACGAACCUUUCGGGGUUAGUGGCGGACGGGUGAGUAACACGUGGGAACGUGCCUUUAGGUUCGGAAUAACUCAGGGAAACUUGUGCUAAUACCGAAUGUGCCCUUCGGGAGAAAGAUUAAUCGCCUUUAGAGCGGCCCGCGUCUGAUUAGCUAGUUGGUUGAGGUAAUGGCUCACCACGGCGACGAGCAGUAGCUGGUCGGAGAGGAUGAUCAGCCACAUUGGGACUGAGACACGGCCCAAACGCCUGCGGGAGGCGGGGGAGGGUGAACUUUGGGAGGGGGCGAAACGCUGCAACGCCCCUGCCGGGAGAAUGGUGAAGUGCUUGGAAUUGAAAAUUUCUUUCGCCGGGGAGGAUAAGGGGGGAACCGGGAAAAAAGCCCCCGGUAAACUUGGG